Molecule: small RNA, 52 nt
Filed under: human gut metagenome
Also listed under: 1 other name
Description: Streptococcus sRNA SpF59 (ldcC RNA)
Rfam family: Streptococcus sRNA SpF59 (ldcC RNA)
Source: RNAcentral
GACCGCUGCUUUGAGCAGCUAAGGCCACACGGACAGCCGGGUCGAAUGCCGA